GACGAACGCUGGCGGCGUGCCUAAUACAUGCAAGUUGAACGCUUCUUUCUUAUCGAACUUCGGUUCACCAAGAAAGAAGAGUAGCGAACGGGUGAGUAACACGUGGGUAACCUGCCCAUCAGCGGGGGAUAACACUUGGAAACAGGUGCUAAUACCGCAUAAUACUUUUUCUCUCAUGAGUGAAAGUUGAAAGGCGCUUUUGCGUCACUGAUGGAUGGACCCGCGGUGCAUUAGCUAGUUGGUAGGGUAACGGCCUACCAAGGCAACGAUGCAUAGCCGACCUGAGAGGGUGAUCGGCCACACUGGGACUGAGACACGGCCCAGACUCCUACGGGAGGCAGCAGUAGGGAAUCUUCGGCAAUGGACGAAAGUCUGACCGAGCAACGCCGCGUGAGUGAAGAAGGUUUUCGGAUCGUAAAACUCUGUUGUUAGAGAAGAACAAGGAUGAGAAGAGAAUGUUCAUCCCUUGACGGUAUCUAACCAGAAAGCCACGGCUAACUACGUGCCAGCAGCCGCGGUAAUACGUAGGUGGCAAGCGUUGUCCGGAUUUAUUGGGCGUAAAGCGAGCGCAGGCGGUUCUUUAAGUCUGAUGUGAAAGCCCCCGGCUCAACCGGGGAGGGUCAUUGGAAACUGGGGAACUUGAGUGCAGAAGAGGAGAGUGGAAUUC
RNAcentral lists this ribosomal RNA (667 nucleotides) under uncultured Enterococcus sp. RNAcentral's name for it is "bacterial SSU rRNA". It matches the Rfam family "Bacterial small subunit ribosomal RNA", at positions 28 to 669 of the family's 1533-position model. Lineage: Bacteria; Bacillati; Bacillota; Bacilli; Lactobacillales; Enterococcaceae. The record is from RNAcentral.